This 237-nucleotide ribosomal RNA is filed under the name uncultured bacterium. Its description in RNAcentral is "partial 16S ribosomal RNA". It matches the Rfam family "Bacterial small subunit ribosomal RNA", at positions 1255 to 1500 of the family's 1533-position model. The record is from RNAcentral.
GGGUGACCGGAUGCCGAUCUCGAAAACCUGUCCCAGUUCGGACUGGAGUCUGCAACCCGACUCCACGAAGUUGGAUUCGCUAGUAAUCGCGCAUCAGCCAUGGCGCGGUGAAUACGUUCCCGGGCCUUGUACACACCGCCCGUCAAGCCAUGGGAGCCGGGGGCGCCUGAAGUCCGGGACCGCGAGGACCGGCCUAGGGCGAAACUGGUGACUGGGGCUAAGUCGUAACAAGGUACC